RNAcentral lists this long non-coding RNA (851 nucleotides) under Homo sapiens (human). RNAcentral's name for it is "HSALNT0315375". The record is from RNAcentral. Lineage: Eukaryota; Metazoa; Chordata; Mammalia; Primates; Hominidae.
UACAUUAAAGACAGCAGAAUAGCAGAAGAAGCUUAAGGACACAUCAAGGACUCCUUCAUUUCUUAUCAAGUACCUUGAUAUUCAACAACAUAUCAGUCGGUGGGCAAGAGGCCUCUGUCUGGUGACGAUCUGAAGAUAUGAUAAUGCUGGCAGUUUGGACAGAAGUUGCUAGAAAUAAUGUAGGAACCAUGGAAAAUACUGCUGCUAAAUGCUGUUAUGGAAAGUCGUCAUAUUCGGUAUGAUUUUUAAAUUUCAUACAACACUCAGAAGUCAUAUGUUUGAGCUACUCUGUGACAUUUAAUCAUUAAUAGAAGAUUUGGGGUAUACACUACAGAUGGGCCCUGUUUGCUGAAAUGUUGGGGCCAAACAACUUGAUAGAGCCUAUGAUGUUCCUUUCAAGCUUUCUAAAGUUUCCACCAACCUCAGAUGAAAAUGUAACUGUGAGAAGUAAAUUUAACAACAUUGUUGUCUGCAUAUGUGUGCCAAAAUGGAAGACAGAAUCAUGAAAAAGAAGCUUAUUUUAUAACCAUGGUGGUGGCUCAUGUUUGAGUAGUAAUGACCUAAGCCCCAAAGGCCAAAAGUAAAACCUCCUACCCCAAACCCGCCUGUAACUGUCUGACCAGUUCCCGGAUGCAGUCAAGACGUCUACCUUACACAACAGAACUGGCAAGAAAAACAUCCCCAGGAAGCGGUCAGACACCUGGCACAAAGGACCCUACAACUCUUUUCUUUUUCCUUCACCUUGACCCAGUUCUACACCCUAUAAAACCUUGCUAUAGCCUGUAAGCGGGGCUGCCUCCUCUGCUUUUGUCAGGAGGUAGCCCGGCAGGACUGACAAUAAAUCAGCUUGC